CCUACGGGGAGCAGCAGUGGGGGAUAUUGCACAAUGGGGGGAACCCUGAUGCAGCGACGCCGCGUGGGUGAAGGAGUGCUUCGGCAUGUAAAGCUCUAUCGGCAGGGAAGAAGCAAGACGGUACCUGACUAAGAAGCCCCGGCUAACUACGUGCCAGCAGCCGCGGUAAUACGGAGGGGGCGAGCGUUAUCCGGAUUCACUGGGUGUAAAGGGAGCGUAGACGGCCAAGCAAGCCAGGGGUGAAAGCCCGGGGCCCAACCCCGGGAGUGCCCUUGGAACUGUAAGGCUAGAGUGUCGGAGAGGCAGGCGGAAUUCCUAGUGUAGCGGUGAAAUGCGUAGAUAUUAGGAGGAACACCAGUGGCGAAGGCGGCCUGCUGGACGAUGACUGACGUUGAGGCUCGAAAGCGUGGGGAGCAAACAGGAUUAGAUACCCCUGUAGUC
RNAcentral lists this ribosomal RNA (441 nucleotides) under uncultured bacterium. RNAcentral describes it as "partial 16S ribosomal RNA". It matches the Rfam family "Bacterial small subunit ribosomal RNA", at positions 338 to 795 of the family's 1533-position model. The record is from RNAcentral.